RNAcentral lists this ribosomal RNA (484 nucleotides) under uncultured bacterium. Its description in RNAcentral is "partial 16S ribosomal RNA". It matches the Rfam family "Bacterial small subunit ribosomal RNA", at positions 29 to 507 of the family's 1533-position model. The record is from RNAcentral.
AUUGAACGCUGGCGGCAUGCUUUACACAUGCAAGUCGAACGGCAGCGCGGGCUUCGGCCUGGCGGCGAGUGGCGAACGGGUGAGUAAUACAUCGGAACGUGCCCAGUAGUGGGGGAUAGCUCGGCGAAAGCCGGAUUAAUACCGCAUACGACCUGAGGGUGAAAGCGGGGGAUCUUCGGACCUCGCGCUAUUGGAGCGGCCGAUGGCAGAUUAGCUAGUUGGUGGGGUAAAGGCCUACCAAGGCGACGAUCUGUAGCUGGUCUGAGAGGACGACCAGCCACACUGGGACUGAGACACGGCCCAGACUCCUACGGGAGGCAGCAGUGGGGAAUUUUGGACAAUGGGCGAAAGCCUGAUCCAGCAAUGCCGCGUGUGUGAUGAAGGCCUUCGGGUUGUAAAGCACUUUUGGCGGGAACGAAAAGGACUGUGCCAAUACCACGGUUCGAUGGCGGUACCCGCAGAAUAAGCAGGGGCUAACUACGUG